GAGGAUGAUGAUCUGAUAUUGUCGCCCCAGUCUUAGGAUCCGCUCUAAUUGCGGAUCUUUGCUGAUUGACACUUCUGAAUCUGACUC
This 87-nucleotide small nucleolar RNA is filed under the name Dichanthelium oligosanthes. Its description in RNAcentral is "Small nucleolar RNA U31b". It matches the Rfam family "Small nucleolar RNA U31b". Lineage: Eukaryota; Viridiplantae; Streptophyta; Magnoliopsida; Poales; Poaceae. The record is from Rfam by way of RNAcentral.